This 481-nucleotide ribosomal RNA is filed under the name uncultured bacterium. RNAcentral describes it as "bacterial SSU rRNA". It matches the Rfam family "Bacterial small subunit ribosomal RNA", at positions 329 to 803 of the family's 1533-position model. The record is from RNAcentral.
UGGCUAACUCCUACGGGAGGCAGCAGUGGGGAAUAUUGCACAAUGGGCGCAAGCCUGAUGCAGCCAUGCCGCGUGUAUGAAGAAGGCCUUCGGGUUGUAAAGUACUUUCAGCGGGGAGGAAGGCGACGCGGUUAAUAACCGGGUCGAUUGACGUUACCCGCAGAAGAAGCACCGGCUAACUCCGUGCCAGCAGCCGCGGUAAUACGGAGGGUGCAAGCGUUAAUCGGAAUUACUGGGCGUAAAGCGCACGCAGGCGGUCUGUCAAGUCGGAUGUGAAAUCCCCGGGCUUAACCUGGGAACUGCAUUCGAAACUGGCAGGCUAGAGUCUUGUAGAGGGGGGUAGAAUUCCAGGUGUAGCGGUGAAAUGCGUAGAGAUCUGGAGGAAUACCGGUGGCGAAGGCGGCCCCCUGGACAAAGACUGACGCUCAGGUGCGAAAGCGUGGGGAGCAAACAGGAUUAGAUACCCGUGUAGUCCAGCUGG